CGGGAGCCGGGAUUGCCACGGCUUUGAGCGCUGACGCUGCCUCUGCCUCUCCCAGAGCCGCUGUCCCCGCCACAAAUUGUGGGCAACUCCUUGGUGAAGGCAGGAGGCAACACCAAACUGGUUUGCCGCGUGGUGCACGGGACGGCAGACGCCUACUGGUGGAAGAAAAAUGGGCAACCGCUCGUGGAAAGUGAGCGCAUCCAGUUUGUGGAGAACACCACGCUCGUCAUCCUGCGGGUGUCCAUCAGCGACAGCGGCUACUACACCUGCGUGGUGAGCAACGCCGUGAGCCAGAACGAGACCUCCUUCCUGCUCAAGGUCCACCACUCUACACACGUGGUGCUGCCUGUGGUCAUGACCUGUGUCGUCAUCGGCUUGAUCGCAGGUGGGUGCUGAGGUGGCUCUGCCCGAUUUCUGGCUGGUGGGUGCUGCGGCCACCAGAGGUGGGUGAAGGGGUCCCAUGUGGCACAUCCCUGCCAGGACCUGGCUUUCCCACCCUGGCAUCCCGUGGGCAGGGGCUGGGUUUUGUCACAGCUGCUGUUUCCAGCAGAGUGUCCCCAGUCCAAGGAGGUCAUGUUGGCCUGCAUUGAUGAUGGUGGUGGUGGGGCUCUGAGCAGCCUGGGCUGGUGGAAGUUCUUCCUGCCCAUGGCACGGGUAGGAACUGGAUGGGCUUUGAAGGUUCCUCCAACACAAACGGUUCUGGGAUUUUCUGAUGCUGCUGCUUUGUCCUCAGGUGUCUUUGUCUGGUGCUGGAGAAGGGAGAAGGAACACAGUGACAACUGUUGGUAGAGCUGGGCCAGCCCUGCUGUUGCUCUUCCCUGGUGACCCUGGUGAUGGAUACUGCUGGGAGUGCCAGGUAUCCCAUCCCAUCCCAUCCCAGCCUCUCCUGGGCUCACCUGUGAAGUGUUCAAGCUGCCAGAUCCUGCAAAUGUUUUAUUGGAAAACACUGGUUUGGACUAUUUCUAUGUUGUCCUGCUCUUCCUGUUGUGCAUCCCUGGGGAGAGGGAUGUACUUGCUCCCUCCCUCCACCCUCCUGGCUUCCUGCAGAGGCCUCGAUGGGCUCUUGGCUCUGGAAAGAGCCAACUGGGCAAAUCCACAGUCCUGGGGCUGCUGGAAGGUGCCACAGUGCCAGCCCUGCCUCCCCGGGCCCUCCCGGUGCCCUGCUGUGCCAGGGCUUUGCCAGGGGGCUCAGGGGCUGAGGCUCUGGGCAUCCUGCUCCGUGUGACCCUUGGAGGGAGGAGGAAGGGCAGGACUGUGCUGGGUGUGCAGCUGGAGGGAGCAGAGGCAGCGGGAGCUGGCAGGGAAUGGGGGAGCAGCAAAGGAGUUCAGUUUCUGACAGCAGAUCCCAGGGAAAUCCCUGCAGCUGCCUGAGGUGGGGAUGCUCCUGAGCCCAUCUCUUCCAGCCCUGCAGGAUCUGGGGAUAUCCCUGGGGACAUCCCCUCCUCUUCCCAGCACCAGUGCUGGUGGAGCUUGUCCUUCCCAUUUGCUGCUCAUGCAGGUGACAUCGGCCUUGGCCUGGUGAGAUGCAGGGAGCCCUGCUCCUGUCCCCUGCUGUCCCCUGCUGUCCUGUCCCUCCCCGUGCUGCCGCUGCAGGGCUCUCCUAGGCUUGGCUGUGGAGGGGAUGUCGCUCCUUCAGCUGAGCCUGGAGGCAGAGCAGGCAUCCCCAGCCUGGAGAGACCUGGGUGCUUUCCCAGGUGCUGGACCCCACUGUUGGUCACCCCGGGACAUUUGCACCUCCUUUUAAUCUGAGGGGGCAAUCCCAGGUCCAGGGCCCUCCCUGAGCCAGUCCUCAGCACCCCUGGAGCAGGCUGGGGGCCUCUCAAAGGCAAACUGGAAAAUUAUGGGAGAGAUCACAGGGAGAUUCAGGGGCUGUUAGCAAGGGGCCAUCUCAGCCUUGGCUUUUGUGGAGCCAUUAAAGGAAGCAGAGGAGUUUGGGUGGAAUAAAUGAGAUUCCAGCCCUGUUGGAAGCUGCA
Molecule: long non-coding RNA, 1973 nt
Filed under: Zonotrichia albicollis (white-throated sparrow)
Lineage: Eukaryota; Metazoa; Chordata; Aves; Passeriformes; Passerellidae
Description: lncRNA (ENSZALG00000013706.1)
Source: RNAcentral